GUGGGGAAUAUUGGACAAUGGGCGCAAGCCUGAUCCAGCAAUGCCGCGUGGGUGAAGAAGGUCUUCGGAUCGUAAAGCCCUUUCGACAGGGACGAUGAUGACGGUACCUGUAGAAGAAGCCCCGGCUAACUUCGUGCCAGCAGCCGCGGUAAUACGAAGGAGGCUAGCGUUACUCGGAAUUACUGGGCGUAAAGGGCGCGUAGGCGGCUCUGUUAGUCAGGCGUGAAAUUCCUGGGCUUAACCUGGGGACUGCGCUUGAUACUGCAGGGCUUGAGGCCGAGAGAGGGUGGUGGAAUUCCCAGUGUAGAGGUGAAAUUCGUAGAUAUUGGGAAGAACACCGGUGGCGAAGGCGACCACCUGGCUCGGUUCUGACGCUGAGGCGCGACAGCGUGGGGAGCAAACAGGAUUAGAAACCCCAGUAGUCC
Molecule: ribosomal RNA, 425 nt
Filed under: uncultured bacterium
Lineage: Bacteria
Description: partial 16S ribosomal RNA
Rfam family: Bacterial small subunit ribosomal RNA
Source: RNAcentral